Molecule: long non-coding RNA, 1489 nt
Filed under: Anas platyrhynchos (mallard)
Lineage: Eukaryota; Metazoa; Chordata; Aves; Anseriformes; Anatidae
Description: lncRNA (ENSAPLG00020015336.1)
Source: RNAcentral
UCCGUGCAGGGCUGGGUGGGUGCCGUGGGGCGCGCAGGAGCUGCGCCGUGCUCCCUUCUCCCCUCACCUCCUUUAUCCUCAGCCCCUCUCCCCCACAGCCCCUUCCCCCUGGGGACAAACGGUGACCAGCUCCGUGUCACCGUGCUGCUGCACCUCCCCGUGCUCGGGGCGCGCUUCCCACCCUUUCUGCCCCAAACCCCGCCACGAACCACCCCGGGAAGACCCCAGCCCCUCUCCCCGAUCCCUCACACCUACCUCCGCCGGCCAGGACCCCCAAACCCGGGGCGGGAGCCGGGGUCCGUGUGGGGUUUGGGGGUGCUGGCGGUGGGGCAAUGCUGCCGCCUCGCCCGCGGUUGCGCCGCCGCUGAGGGCAGGAAGCGGCGAGCGAAGGCGCUGCACCGCGGGGCCAGGAGGGGCCGACGUCACGGAAAGGCGGCGUGGGGCUGCGGGUGGCACCGGCGCCGGCGGGGGUACUUGGGGGGGGGGCGGCUCCUCGCCCCUCUCCCUCUCUGCCCCGAGCACCUUCGGGUGCCGGUUCCCUGCUGCGAAAGCCUUGAGGAGUCCCCGGGGGGCACGGGUUGCGCCCGGUGGUGGCCGUGCCGAUGGGGGCAAACUGCAGCCCCUUGGCCGCCCACCCCGCAGCACGUCUGCACCCCCAAAAAUCUCUUUAUUUGUCCCAGCUCUGCCUUGUUUUCUCCCCGCAGGGCUCUGCCUUGCAGCUGGGCAGGGUUUUAGGGCUGGAGCUGGCUUCCAGCCCUCGCACCGGGGCUUUGCGCAGGAGCCCACGGCGCGACCCCAGCCCCACGGCCGCGGUGGGGGGGCGCGAUGCCCCCCGGCGCUCUCCACCUUAAGAAAGCCGUCCCUCCUCUCUCUACCUUCACACCCUCAGCUCUGUUUCCCCUCCGGGCAGUUGGGUUACAAUAUUUUUAUCGGCUGGGCAGGUUUCCUGUUUGCAAUCCUCGCGCUCACGGGUGCGGACGGAGCGACCGCGGCGCUGGGUGCCCGGCACCGGCCCCGAUCCUGCCGGCUCCCGGCCACCCCUCGAGGGGCCGAGGCAGCGGAAACGCCGAGCGCUGUGACCCUACAAGGCCUCUCCCAGCUCCUCUCCGCAGCUGGCCGGGCGGGGACAGCGUGGGGGGGUUCCUCCAGGGACCGUGGGAGCAGAGGCGCGCGGAGCUUUGCGCUUCCUGCUGCUUUUCCUCAGCCUCUCCCCAGCGGCAGCCGGAUUCCGGGAAAAAAAAGGGGAUUUGGGGGAAAAAAAAAAUCCCCCACACGGUUGGGUUGCAGGAGGAAGGCUGGAGCUGCGCAGGGAGGUGGUGAGGAGCACAGCGUGGUCUCGUCCCACGGGGGGACGUCGCCCCCGGAGCUGGGCAGAGUGAUGGCUGAGGACGGGGGGGUCCGGGGGGGCGGCCUCCAACAGCACCCAGGUGAGCCAGCAGCCAGGAGGAAGCUGGGGGGGGGCUCCUGGAGGUGAUUUUUGGUGCAAGGC